UUUUGUUUGUAAAUUAAAGCCUAAUGGGGUAAUGGACGUGCAUGAUGUUGGUCAUUCCUGGCCACCCAUUCCCAGAUAAUGUCCACAAUGGCCCAAGAGCACAAAAUUCCCAUGGACCCAAUUCGGAGGAGUCCAGCAAGACUCAGGGUGAGAACAGGGCAAACACCUACAUCUGCAUAAUCAAGGGUG
This is a long non-coding RNA of Phyllostomus discolor (pale spear-nosed bat), 189 nucleotides long. RefSeq lists it as uncharacterized. The record is from RefSeq and is a predicted model, not a curated record. Lineage: Eukaryota; Metazoa; Chordata; Mammalia; Chiroptera; Phyllostomidae. The transcript is spliced from 3 exons.